UACGUAGGGUCCAAGCGUUAAUCGGAAUUACUGGGCGUAAAGCGUGCGUAGGCGGUUUCGCAAGUCCGAUGUGAAAUCCCCGGGCUUAACCUGGGAACUGCGUUGGAAACUACGAAGCUAGAGUGCGGCAGAGGGGGGUGGAAUUCCAGGUGUAGCAGUGAAAUGCGUAGAGAUCUGGAGGAACACCGAUGGCGAAGGCAGCCCCCUGGGCUAGCACUGACGCUGAUACACGAAAGCGUGGGGAGCAAACAGG
Molecule: ribosomal RNA, 253 nt
Filed under: uncultured bacterium
Lineage: Bacteria
Description: partial 16S ribosomal RNA
Rfam family: Bacterial small subunit ribosomal RNA
Source: RNAcentral